CCCUUAGAUGUUCUGGGCCGCACGCGUGCUACACUGAGUAAAUCAAUGGGUAAGGGAACACGAAAGUGCAACCUAAUCUUGAAAUUUGCUCGUGAUGGGGAUCGACGGUUGCAAUUUUCCGUCGUGAACGAGGAAUACCUUGUAGGCGCGUGUCAUCAUCACGCGCCGAAUACGUCCCUGCCCUUUGUACACACCGCCCGUCGCUCCUACCGAUUGAGUGAUCCGAUGAAUACCAUGGAUUGAGAGUACGAAUAGGUUCGCUUAUUUCUGCUGCUCGAGAAGUGGAGUAAAUCUUAUCAUUUAGAGGAAGGAGAAGUCGUAACA
This 324-nucleotide ribosomal RNA is filed under the name uncultured eukaryote. RNAcentral's name for it is "partial 18S ribosomal RNA". It matches the Rfam family "Eukaryotic small subunit ribosomal RNA", at positions 1470 to 1796 of the family's 1831-position model. The record is from RNAcentral.